GCCGGCCCCGCUGCUCCGCGCUCGCUCCCCGGCGCCAUGGCGCGCUCUGAGGAGGUGCAUCGCCUCACCGAGACCGUCUACAAGACAAUCAUGGAACAGUUCAAUCCCAGCCUCAGGAACUUCAUUUCCAUGGGGAAGAACUAUGAAAAAGCCUUGGCAAGUGUAACGUAUGCUGCAAAAGGCUAUUUUGAUGCUCUGGUUAAAAUGGGGGAGUUGGCCAGUGAAAGCCAAGGAUCUAAAGAACUGGGGGAUGUUCUCUUCCAGAUGGCAGAAGUUCACAGACAGAUUCAAAAUCAGUUGGAAGAGAUGCUGAAGUCUUUUCACAAUGAGCUACUGACACAACUGGAGCAGAAAGUAGAACUGGAUUCCAGGUAUCUAAGUGCUGCAUUGAAGAAAUACCAGACUGAGCAAAGGAGCAAAGGGGACGCGCUAGAGAAGUGCCAGGCAGAGCUGAAAAAACUUCGGAAGAAGAGCCAAGGGAGCAAAAACCCUCAGAAGUACUCGGACAAGGAGCUGCAGUACAUUGAUGCUAUCAGCAACAAACAAGGUGAGCUAGAAAACCACGUCUCUGAUGGCUAUAAGACAGCGCUCACAGAGGAGAGGAGACGGUUCUGCUUCCUGGUAGAGAAGCAGUGUGCUGUGGCUAAGAACACCAUCUCCUACCAUGCCAAGGGGAAAGAGAUCUUGACACAGAAGCUCCCGAUCUGGCAGCAGUCUUGCUCGGACCCCAACAAGAUCCCAGACCGGGCUAUCCAGCUGAUGCAGCAGAUGGCCGCCAGCAGCAAUGGCACGAUCAUCCCCAGCUCCCUGUCUACAUCCAAAUCGAACCUAAUCAUCUCGGACCCUAUCCCCGGGGCCAAACCGCUCCCUGUCCCACCAGAGCUGGCGCCCUUCGUAGGGCGCAUGUCAGCACAAGAGACCAUUCCCGUGAUGAAUGGUGUCUCGGGCCCGGAGGUCGAAGACUACAGCCGCUGGUCUGAGAUGAAGCCAGCCCAGCCAAAAUCCCUAUCUCCUCCCCAGCAUCAGAAGCAACUGAGUGACUCGUACUCCAACACACUUCCUGUGCGCAAGAGCGUCGCACCAAAAAGCAGUUACGCAACCACUGAAAACAAGACCUUGCCACGCUCCAGUUCCAUGGCUGCCGGGCUUGAGAGGAACGGCAGGACUAGAGUACAGGCCAUUUUCUCUCAUGCUGCUGGUGAUAACACCACCCUCCUGAGCUUCAAGGAAGGAGACCUCAUCAUGCUCCUGGUGCCGGAGGCCCGAGAUGGAUGGCACUACGGGGAGAGUGAGAAAACAAAAAUGAGAGGCUGGUUCCCUUUCUCCUACACGCGGGUUCUUGACAGCGAUGGAAGCGACAGGUUGCAUACAAGCUUGCAACAAGGGAAAAGCAGCAGCACAGGCAACCUGCUGGAUAAGGACGACAUCGCCAUCCCGCCACCAGACUACGGCGUGUCCUCAUCACGGGUCUUCCCACCACAACCUGUCAGCACUUUCAAACAGAGACCAUACAGCGUGGCAGUGCCUGCCUUCUCCCAGGGCCUUGAGGACUAUGGGACGAGAGCUGGAAGCAGCGCCGAUGUGGAAGUGGCCAGGUUUUGAUGUCCCUGACUAGUUACCUGACUGUCAGACAAGAAGGGAUCUCUGGUCAAGACCCUCAGCAGCGUAUACGGAAAUCCUUUUGCCAACAUCCAGCUGAAACCAACAGUGACCAACGACAGGUCAGCUCCCUUCAUCAGCUGAUCCCUGGGAUUGCAGGAGCCAGCAAGCACCUCCUGCCUGCAUUGCUGUAUCUGACCCACUGUAGCCUCCUUGUCCGCAAGUCUGUCUCUCCAGAACUUUGUUUAGGCUGCGUUUGUUUAAACCUGCUACUGCUGCUUGGAAGCCAAGGGCUAAAGCUGGUGUUUUGCUGGUCUCUCCUGUAAAGCCCGUGUAGUCGGCACAGUGGCAGAGGGUGAGCGGGUUAAACUCUGUUACCCUUCGUUCACUCUGGUCAUGGCAGGUGUGGAGGUAAAGCAGCACUCACGGCCCUGGGUUCCCAGCCUGUCCCCUCCAGCCCUGUUCAGCUCUCCCAGCGCAGAAAGGUCAGCGUUAGUGGGGAACAUGCUGACCCCACAGCCUGCUGCUGCUCUAAGAGUGGGAAAGCAGCAGCACUCAGUAUAGCCCCAGCCUCUCGCUCCUGUCUCCUGCACAGACCAAGAUACAGGCCGGGCAGCUGUAACCCUCACCCCAGCCCUCUAAAAGGAUGGCAGCAGGGCACCUGGGACCAAGGCUGCCGGCCCGGGCCCACAGACUGGUGUGGAUGGGGCGGGUCAGGCCUACCCAGCUUGUGCUAGCAGGAGCCCUGUUAACACCCGUCUGCGGAGCUGGGCUGACAGGCUCAGGCCUCCAUGCAGUGUAGACACAGCCAAGGCUUGCAGACCCCACUCUGCUGUUUAGAGCUGCCGAGGGAAGUGAGGGGCUAAGCCUUGGUCCCUUCCCUUUUGGCCUGAAGCAAUUCUUGGCCUGUGGAACAGCAGAGCUGUGCAAAGCAUUUGUCCUCCUUCAGACUGCUGCUCAGGGCUGGCUAGCACGAGCGUAAGGGCCGGCUGCUCCCAGGCAGGCCUGCUGACCGUCAGUUCAACAGUUGCUAAUGUUUUUACACCCAACCCUCAUGGUGCAGCAUCUAGAUUUUAUUUAGCUCGGUGAGGUAUUAUUCAAGCUUGAACAAUGGGCUGUUAGAUGCAACACCCCCUGCGCGGAGGCAACCGGUACUACUCACCCUCUUACCUGUAGUUGUCUGUUGUGAAACUACAGGGAAGAGGAAACAGAGGUGGAGGAGGGUGCACCAUGCCCCCCUACCGCUGUCCUAACCACCUGUCACGUGCCGGAGACCUGCAAGACCCAAGCUGCAGGCAGCUUUCUGUGCUGAAGCGGGGAGGGUCUGUGACUUGAAAGGUUCUGGGCUGGAACCAUUCCAAGUCCCCGAGCCCCCUCCCAUGCUCAUAGCCACUUCCCCGUGUGUCACUCGGCUCUGCCUUGCAGGGCCCUGUGAGAUGAACCCUUGCAGCUCCGUAAGCGACUGGCUGGGAACUCGAGACCAGGCCCUGGAAGCUCUGGUCAGCAGCUGCCCCCACCCCAGGCUGCUGGUGCGAGUGCUCAGCGUACGUUUUGGAAGAGCCCGGCUCAGGCUCUUUAGUGAGAAACCUCUGCCUUAGCUGAGCUCUCCCCCUCCCCCCUUGCUUGUUACUAAGAUCUCUGCUGCUCUGGUACCCACUCUCGGCAUGAGGCCGGCCAGCUCCACCCCACCCAGUGCCUGCACUGAGGCUUCUGGUCUCAGGCCUUGUGUCCUUACUAAAGCAUGAGGAACGAGAGAGGGGAAAACAAGCUCCGCAACCUGUGGGAACAGGCCCUGCAGCGGAGCUGGGUCCUUUGCUGCCUUGCUCCAGCGGGGCUAGAUCAGAAUCGGGGCCAGAAGCCCAGGCGGUGCCCAUGGAAGGGGUGGCCGCCUUCAUGGUUUGUCUGCACUUUUUUUUAGGGCGAGAUGGCAGAGCUCGUGCUGCCUGUGCGUUACUGCGCUCUAGGCUUAGCCCCUAUAAGCUUAUGCCAAGUAGCAAACGAAAGCAAAUGCAGCGUCCAGUGUUUGUAUUUUUAUAUAAAGGAAAGUAUAUUUGACCCCUAUAAUCAAUGGCUGCUCUGUGCUGUCAUGGCACCCCCACCCCCCGCAGGGGGAGCACCUGAGCCCCGCAGUGGGCACCAAGCUGCAGGUACCUCGUGGGCUGCCUUGCAUCCAGCUUCACCCACAGCCCUGCACUGCCCCAGCGGGAGGGCCCUGCCCCAUGGGGUUAAAUCUGUCCAACUGUGUUGUCUCAAACUCUCUAAUCUGCUCUUUGUGCCUCUGUGCACUGCGACUUCCCCUGCUUUUCAGUAGAGUCAGUGAGGGGACGUGAGGCCGUAACUCUGGCGCUCAGAGGUAUGAAAACGCUCUGGUGCCCGAGGGCUGCCGUUAACCCGGCCUAACCCCUCUGGGAGGUGGUGCCAGGGAGCAGCCUCAGCAAAGCGCUGCAGCAGUUUGAGUGUAGACAAGCCCUGAGACUGCGCUGCUCUGAACUAGGCCCCCGGGCAGGGCCGAGCGCUAACGAAACACCCUGGAGACUACAAGGGUCAGCACAAGUGAACGGCCUCUGUCGGCUGUACUAGUUCUCUCUGGCCUGGUCCCUGCACUCAGUCCUUGCUCACAUGGGCAUUUUCCUGCUCCAUGAGUGAAGUUCUGCUGGGCUGCAGCCCUGCUGAUGCAGUAACUGGUUCAGGUGGAGCCAGGGCCAGCUAAAGCUAUAAGGAAUAUUGGCCCAGGUUUAGGGUUGUGACUGCUACAGUCCUAGCUUGAGCCCAGCGACUGACCUUAAAGACGUUUUCUUGUCUGUGAGCCCCAAAAAUGUAAACGAGUGGUGCUGCUGCUUGCCUGAGUGUGCAGCCAGCCUGAAACAAUAGCUGCCAGACCUGUGACCUGCCCACUCCACCUUAACUCUGCCACCCCCUGGGGACAGCCAAAGAGGCUCCAGCUGUGGUGUGCCUGAGGCCCCAUAUUGCCUUAAUUCUGCCCUGUGUGGACCAAAGACUCAGAACAGCUGCGCAAAUGGGCCCUGAGUGAACUCCGCCCUGGCCUCCCAUGAAUCAUGGCACCAAAGAGAGGCCAAGGAGCUUGGCGAGGCUGCAGGGCUCCUUGGGGACCAGCUCCAGCCUAACGUCUCUGUGAGCAGGUCUCUUGUCCUGGAGCUUUCCGGACGGUGCCCCCAUCACGCUGUGCCUUCCUGUGGUGUGAGCGAGGGGCUUUGUGCACAAUGUCAGCCACAGGCGCGGGGAGGGAGGGAGCCUAGCAGAACAGUGAUGUUGUUACUACAGCUACGGCCUUGGGUGGGAGGCUAGGGAGGGAGCAGACCUGGUCACUGCUCCCCUCCCCAUGGAUCCCGUGGAGGCCUGAGGGCUGCUCCCCAUGGUUGUACAUCACUGCACGGCUUGGCCUACUCCGAGCACUUGUUCAAACCCUCCCAGAAAGGCUGCUCGCCUCGAGGAGCCUGCUUAGCCAGAGGGCUUUCAACGUGGGCAGCCAAGCUUAGCUUCCCAACCAGCACGGCCCGGCAGAGGUGCUGUGCUGCCGCUCUGGCUGCUUCCCUGCGCUUUCUAGCGGCUGCACCAUGUACCCUGAAAUUACUAUUUUUGGAACAGUAAUUUAUGAGCAAUAAAACCCACAAAUCCUUGGCCUGAG
RNA transcript from Mauremys reevesii (Reeves's turtle), 5245 nucleotides. It is a transcript of the gene named BAR/IMD domain containing adaptor protein 2, with no coding region annotated. NCBI's taxonomy places the organism in Eukaryota, Metazoa, Chordata, Testudines, Geoemydidae. The transcript has 16 exons. The record is from RefSeq and is a predicted model, not a curated record.